GCCCUAAAGCCCUUUAACACA
RNAcentral lists this transfer RNA (21 nucleotides) under Hyloxalus nexipus (Los Tayos rocket frog). RNAcentral describes it as "partial tRNA-Phe". Lineage: Eukaryota; Metazoa; Chordata; Amphibia; Anura; Dendrobatidae. The record is from RNAcentral.